Molecule: ribosomal RNA, 424 nt
Filed under: uncultured bacterium
Lineage: Bacteria
Description: bacterial SSU rRNA
Rfam family: Bacterial small subunit ribosomal RNA
Source: RNAcentral
UAGUCCACGCAGUAAACGAUGAGUGCUAGUUAUUGGGAUCUUUGAUUUCGGUGGCGAAGCUAACGCGUUAAGCACUCCGCCUGGGGAGUACGGCCGCAAGGCUAAAACUCAAAGGAAUUGACGGGGACCCGCACAAGCAGUGGAGCAUGUGGUUUAAUUCGAUGCUACGCGAAAAACCUUACCAGCUCUUGCAUCCUAGUUUUGAUUUUCAGAGAUGAAUAUCUUCAGUUCGGCUGGACUAGUGACAGGUGUUGCAUGGCUGUCGUCAGCUCGUGUCGUGAGAUGUUAGGUUAAGUCCUUCAACGAGCGCAACCCUCAUCCUUAUUUGCCAUCAGGUUAUGCUGGGAACUAUAAGGAAACUGCCAACGACAAGUUGGAGGAAGGUGGGGGACGAUGUCAAGUCAUCAUGGGCCCUUAUGGGGCU